Molecule: long non-coding RNA, 1195 nt
Organism: Pyrus x bretschneideri (Chinese white pear)
Lineage: Eukaryota; Viridiplantae; Streptophyta; Magnoliopsida; Rosales; Rosaceae
Exons: 3
Source: RefSeq, a predicted model, not a curated record
CUCUCAUGGACUUAUCCGGUGUUAUAGGUGCAAAUUGGCCAUUUGUAGUCGGAGGUGGAAUAUUCAGAUCAUAAGGAUGGUUGUCAGGGAAUGAAAAUUCAUCUGCAUAGAAGAAAUAUUGGUUCAUCUACUGAUCAAAGAGACACUUACCGAAACUAUCCACACUAAGGCGGCUCUCCAGCCCUUAAAUUCGGUGACUGCCGAGUUUACUUCUUGUACGGUUAUUGGGCGAAGCAAACAAAAAUGAAGAGGCCCCAAGAAAGAGAAAAUAAAAUCUGCAACUUGGUUGGAGCCUUGGAGGAUUCCCCUACUUUUUACUAGGGUUAGUGCUUAAAUUUCUAGUAUUGGUGUGGGGUUAUACAACAUAAAUGUUUGUACUGUUUCAUUGGUUUGGAGUUCUUCUUUUUGUUUGGUGGCUCAAGAUUUAGACUGCGGUCGUUUUAACAUGGAUUACAAUGAUCGUUUGAAUAUACAUUGUCAACAUAAAUUAUUAAAAUAAUCAUUGUCAGCUUGAUUGAAAAUAUGUAUCGUCAACAUUCGCCUUUAUAUGAAAUAAAAUUGUUCAUGUCACUCAUUGUGUUGGAAUUUUUGUCAGUACGAAGAUAUUAGAGAUUUGUCGUCAAUGCGGGAUUUGACAUUGGAUCCAUGCAAGUAGGACAUCUUUAAAUAAAAAUAAAACUAUUUGUAUCAUAUUUACUAAUGUCGUAUUGCACAAUGUAUUUUUGCAGAAAAGUAAGAUUCAUGUUUUAUAUUCCCCUCUUCUUUUCCUCUCUUUUGUAAAACUUCAAAUUCUAGUUAUUUAAUUUUAUGUAAAAAUCCAAUCCUCUUUUUUUUUUUUUUUUUCUUCUUCUCAAUCAUAACAAGAAAUAGUUUGAGUAACUCUGUUAGAAUUUCAUCCCUUAUUUUUUUUACGUAAAACCAUUUUGAAUAGAAGUUCAAAUGGUGUUACACAAAAAGAUUAACACUUAAUAAAUGUGUGUACAUUUCAUUGGUUUGGAAUCCUUCUUUCUGGCAUUAGAUUUAGACCGCUGCCGUUCUGACAUGACAGUUACAAUGAUUGUUUGAAUAUACAUUGUCAACACAAAUCUUAAAAAUAAUCAUAGUCAACGCGAUUUAAAAUAUGUAUAGUCAACACUCAUCUUUAUGUAAAACAAAAUUUUCCGUACUUUACUAAUUACGUCACUCGUUAUGUCAA